Molecule: ribosomal RNA, 441 nt
Filed under: uncultured bacterium
Lineage: Bacteria
Description: partial 16S ribosomal RNA
Rfam family: Bacterial small subunit ribosomal RNA
Source: RNAcentral
CCUACGGGAGGCAGCAGUGGGGGAUAUUGCACAAUGGGGGGAACCCUGAUGCAGCGACGCCGCGUGGGUGAAGGAGCGUUUCGGCGCGUAAAGCCCUAUCGGCAGGGAAGAAGGAGGACGGUACCUGACUCAGAAGCCCCGGCUAACUACGUGCCAGCAGCCGCGGUAAUACGUAGGGGGCAAGCGUUAUCCGGAUUUACUGGGUGUAAAGGGGGCGCAGACGGCAGCGCAAGCCAGGAGUGAAAGCCCGGGGCCCAACCCCGGGACUGCUCUUGGAACUGCGCGGCUUGAGUGCAGGAGGGGCAGGCGGAAUUCCUGGUGUAGCGGUGAAAUGCGUAGAUAUCAGGAGGAACACCGGUGGCGAAGGCGGCCUGCUGGACUGCGACUGACGUUGAGGCCCGAAAGCGUGGGGAGCAAACAGGAUUAGAUACCCCAGUAGUC